Molecule: ribosomal RNA, 274 nt
Filed under: uncultured bacterium
Lineage: Bacteria
Description: partial 16S ribosomal RNA
Rfam family: Bacterial small subunit ribosomal RNA
Source: RNAcentral
AUACGGAGGGGGUUAGCGUUGUUGGGAAUUACUGGGCGUAAAGCGCACGUAGGCGGACUGGAAAGUUGGGGGUGAAAUCCCGGGGCUCAACCCCGGAACUGCCUCCAAAACUUCCAAUCUAGAGAUCGAGAGAGGUGAGUGGAAUUCCAAGUGUAGAAGUGAAAUUCGUAGAUAUUUGGAGGAACACCAGUGGCGAAGGCGGCUCACUGGCUCGAUACUGACGCUGAGGUGCGAAAGCGUGGGGAGCAAACAGGAUUAGAUACCCUAGUAGUCC